AUGAAGAGGAUAACUUAUUCGCACCCCCCAAGCUGACCGACGAGGACUUCUCACCAUUUGGCUCUGGAGGCAGCCUGUUCAGUGGGGGCAAGGGGCUCUUUGAUUAUGAGGACGAGGAGGUGAGUCCAUGGCACUCAGCAACACUCCCUGCAGCUAGCUGUGUCAGGGGUCCACAGGGAAGAAAUAGGCUUUGCUUGUUGAGUGGGGAAAAACAGUUUCUCAGUUGGAAGUUGCUUCUAUUUUCAUAUUUUGGGACAUUUUGAACUAAGAAUCACAGAGUGAGAAAUGCCGUAUCCUUCUAUGCUUUGUUAGGUGAGGCGAAGAUGUGCACGUGUUAAUGUGAAUAAUUUACUAGGUGAUUGUUUCUUGCCUUAUCUGUUGUCUUCCAUGUUUGUUUUUAAUUCCUGGACAGGCCUAAAUUAUUUUAGAGUCUGAUUUUGCCAUAGUUAUCACUUUGCAACUGAUUUUCUGGCAGAGUAGUAAAUAUGUAGCUUUAAAUCUUGUAGGUUAUUUUUCCUUAGGAAUCCUCAAAUGCAGCUAUGCUUUCUCCUGGUUUUUUGAAUUCUUUGUCAUAUACCUUAUUUCAACCAGAGUGACCUCUUCACGGAAGCCCCCCAGGAUCGGCAAGCUGGAGCCUCUGUUAAGGAGGAGUCUUCAUCAUCCAAACCUGGAAAGAAAAUCCUAGCAGGAGCUGUUUCUGUAUUUUUAGGAGACACGGAUGUGCUGCCUCCGUUCCAUCACUGAAGGAGCCACAGAAGCCUGAGCAGCCCACUCCAAGGAAAAGCCCCUACGUUCCCCUCCCACUGGCCUCUUUGAUGAUGAUGAUGGUGAUGAUGAUGACGACUUUUUCUCGACACCCCACAGCAAGCCUUCCAAAACAGGCAAAGUCCAAUCCACUGCCGAUAUCUUUGGUGACGAAGAAGGAGAUCUGUUCAAAGAAAAAGCCGUAGCAUUGCCAGAAGCCACUGUGAGUCAGACAGAUGAAAAUAAAGCAAGAGCAGAAAAAAAGGUUACCUUAUCUUCCAGCAAAAAUCUCAAGCCCUCAUCAGAAACAAAGACUCAAAAAGGCUUAUUUUCAGAUGAGGAGGACUCUGAGGUAUGGAAUUCUUUUGCUUAGUUGUGGGUAUUAGUCUAUGAUAUGACAUAACUAUUUUGAAUCAGGUUUUUCUCAAUAGAGUUAUAAGACUUUUGUUAAGUACUCCAGUUCUUUAAAAA
Molecule: long non-coding RNA, 1215 nt
Filed under: Pan troglodytes (chimpanzee)
Lineage: Eukaryota; Metazoa; Chordata; Mammalia; Primates; Hominidae
Description: lncRNA (ENSPTRG00000054016.1)
Source: RNAcentral